GACGAACGCUGGCGGCGUGCCUAAUACAUGCAAGUAGAACGCUGAAGGAGGAGCUUGCUUCUCUGGAUGAGUUGCGAACGGGUGAGUAACGCGUAGGUAACCUGCCUGGUAGCGGGGGAUAACUAUUGGAAACGAUAGCUAAUACCGCAUAAUAGUAGCUGUUGCAUGACAUUUGCUUAAAAGUUGCAAUUGCAUCACUACCAGAUGGACCUGCGUUGUAUUAGCUAGUUGGUGAGGUAACGGCACACCAAGGCAACGAUACAUAGCCGACCUGAGAGGGGGAUCGGCCGCACUGGGACUGAGACCCGGCCCAGACUCCUACGGGAGGCAGCAGUAGGGCAUCUUCGGCAAUGGGCGGAAGUCUGACCGAGCAACGCCGCGGGAGUGAAGAAGGUUUUCGGAUCGUAAAGCUCUGUUGUAAGAGAAGAACGAGUGUGAGAGUGGAAAGUUCACACUGUGACGGUAACUUACCAGAAAGAGACGGCUAACUACGUG
This 495-nucleotide ribosomal RNA is filed under the name uncultured bacterium. RNAcentral describes it as "partial 16S ribosomal RNA". It matches the Rfam family "Bacterial small subunit ribosomal RNA", at positions 28 to 507 of the family's 1533-position model. The record is from RNAcentral.